This is a long non-coding RNA of Meleagris gallopavo (turkey), 2482 nucleotides long. The record is from Ensembl. Lineage: Eukaryota; Metazoa; Chordata; Aves; Galliformes; Phasianidae.
CUGUGCUCCCUCCCACUGCUGGCUCUGGUGUGGGGUCUGGAGCUUCCAGUCCCAUUCCCAAAUCUGCUACUGAGCUGCUGUCUUGUGUCACACACAUUGGACUUGCUGUGGUGGGCUGAUAAAGCAAGAGCCAGGAGCUGCCAGGGCUGCUGGGAGUGGUGACCUGGCUUGGCUCUGCAGGGUAAUCCACGCCUCCAUCUCUACCAAAGCAACUGAAGAAGUGCAAGGCUUUGAAAUGCUACUGCUGGAGUUACUCACGAUCAAAAGCCUUGGCCACAAUCCAGCUUCUCUCUCAACAGCAACAAAAAGACCAAGAGCAUGGGGAAUCUGUCGGCUCAAAGAGGCACAUCAGGAUCAGGAGAGUGAAUAGAUUUGCAGCAACUCCCAAACCUGGCCCUUCUCAUCCCAUUCCCACUGGAUACUGGCUCAUCACCAUUCAAGGAAGGAAAGUGAUUUCUUCAGAGAGAGGAGAUCAAUCUGCCUUAUUGAAAAACCACACCACAAGGUGGUUCUUUCUACAUCACAAGACUCAAAGUUCCUGGAAACAUGUUAUUUGUGCUCAGUAGAAAGAAGAAACAACUGACCAAAACGUGAGAAACCAGCAUGUGAGCUCUGCAGACCACACUGCUGCUGCUCAUUCAUCUAGGCAGUGUCAGUGAAAGGGAAGGGAUUGGAGUUUUCCCUCCUGGGAACACCAGUUUGGAGAAAACAUGCUCUCUGAGUCUGUAGUCCCUAUCCAUCAGCAGUGCCAGGGCAAACCUGAGCCACCAACCAGCACACCAGGUGGGAUUCCUGCUGAGGACAGAUCUGCAGGUCAGACAGUGAGAGAAACUCCCCACUUACACUCUGGAAAUUGAAUUUCACAGUGACGAACAGCAAAAAUUCCCUCCUACCCCCAAGUGAGUUUUUUUUCCACCCUGUACACAGGGAGUGUGCUCAUCAAAUCAGAGUUCAAUACAUAUUCAGUUUAACAUAAUUCACACCCUAUUUGUCCUUACACUAAAUGAAGUACAAUCAACUAGGAAUUAUGUAUAACCAUUACAUUCUGCUGCCCAGUUAGUUACAUGUAAUCAGCGCUGUCAUACAGGCAGGCACAGAAAUACACAUUUUUCUUAAUCCUAAGGUGCUCAGACUUUUAUUAUGUGCUGCAAAUGUUCCAUUUGGUGGACUGAGCAGAAAGCUGGUGACUCAGAAGUCACUGAAGAGGAGUCCUCUUUUCUCCCUGGAUCAGCACUAUUCUCUGCUUAAAAAAGCCUGAAAAGCAUGAAGACCUGGAAUUUCACCUGUUUUCAGCUAAUGUUCAUGGCUUCAGGGUAUGUGAGUGGAAUCUGCAAGCAGAAAAUACCUGCUCUGAGAUGUCACCCUGUGCUUUCCAUAUUCCAUUUGUAAGCAUUCGGCUCCAGCUGCCUUUUGAAGUGGCAAAUGCAAUUUACACAAAUUAGAAGUAAAAUAUAUCUUGAUGUAAGUUCUAAUAUGAAAAGUGCACUUUUUAAUCUUGAAAAUUAUCAUGAAGAUUUUCAAGAGAAAGCUUUAUUGCUCUAUACACAGAUAAGUUGCAAUGAUAUUUGAGGAACAGGAAUCUCUGGCAUGUCUUGAUUCAGAGUAGAUUUGCUGCUAAGGAACUGCUUCCUCCAGAUGUAAGUCUGAGGACUGAACACUGCAGGGAUCGAUGCUGCUAACACGCUGCCCAAGGCCCACAGAAGACCUUCUGGUUGUUGGUUGGUCAAAGCAGAAGAUGUGCUCAGCUCUAAAACCCACUGACUUCAUUGGAACCAAUGAUAAGCUGGCACGCGUUUGUCUACUGUUCUGUUGAAGCAGAAUAAGUGCAGGUGUUAUCUUGCAUCUGGGCAGACAGAACAGCUCUGAUUAGCUCUGUCAUGUCAGCUGCAUGUGGUGCAUUUCAGCAAGCUGCUGUGCUCACAGCCAGCUUAUUUUAUUUGCAUUUUGCUCUGGGUGGGUCAGUGUGAAUUGUGCCUCAGCACUACUUCCUCACAGCUUUGAGGAGAUUUCUGGCUCCUUCCUGCCCAGAUGGAGGCCUGUAUCAUAGAAAUAUAGAACUGUUCGUAACUGUUGGAAGGCCACAGCCUUGAUCUCUCUGUAAUUCACCACGUUCAUUUACUGGCCCUUGUGAAAGUUUGCACUCUGAUCCAAGCAAGCUGGUCUUCCUUCCUACUGACCUCAUGCUCUGUUUGGAUUGUAUCUCUUACACAUUCUGAUUUUUUAGAUAUGUUCCUUUACAUAGUUUCUAGGUCUUUGAGGAGGGGGUUCUGAUGCACCUCCUUAGUAGAAUCUCCUACAUGGUGAGCCAAAGUGAGAUGAUUUACAGAUUUUUUGAGGCUGUGUCAGUCUGGGACACUACACUUCCUGAACUUCUCUAAAACUAUUAGCAAGUGUCCACAGGAGGGAUAUGGAGAUUGAGAAGGGUCUGAGGGCAGUAUGUAAGGAGCAGCUGAGGUCUGUGGUGUGCUAAGCCCAGAGCAGA